Long non-coding RNA from Argentina anserina (silverweed cinquefoil), 602 nucleotides. RefSeq lists it as uncharacterized. The record is from RefSeq and is a predicted model, not a curated record. The transcript has 3 exons. Lineage: Eukaryota; Viridiplantae; Streptophyta; Magnoliopsida; Rosales; Rosaceae.
ACAUGACCCUUAAUCCCCAAUUGGUAGAAUGCAUUGCCACAUCACCCCAAAACACUAAAGCCCCAGUGAUAGUGAAACCUCAACAAUUCCCCAAAGCCCAUAACACAAGCACACCAUGCCUUCCAGUCCCAGCGCCGAUGGUUAUCCUGGCGACCUGGAGCCAGUAUUCAAGGCAGCGUUUAAAGGGUUGCUUGCCGGUGCUCUAGCCUCUGUUCUCUGGCUGGCCUCUGAUCGGGUCAAGGUUGUUGAUGGGUAUCUGGAUGUCACACUUCUCUACUGGGGGUUUACAAUAUCACUCUUUGCUAUGAGCUUCUAUGACUUCAUGCUCGCUCUGUAUCAUCUCCCACGCCGUUUCAGCCGCUCAAGGAUAAUAUUGCGGUUCUUGUUGUUCUUAUGUCUUUCUGGAGCUAUGUAUUACAUCAUUUCAACUUAGAGGGUCUGCAGAGUUUGCAAUAUUGCACACAAAUAUCAUAUAGGAAAAGAUGGGCGAGAAGUAAGGGAUUGGGUUUCUUUUUGCUGUAUUAAGAUCCAGCCUGCUGAUAUAUGAUAGUUCUCCAGUAGCGUUGAACUUUUUCUAGGCACAUUACUGACAUUAGUCUAAC